RNAcentral lists this ribosomal RNA (341 nucleotides) under uncultured Pseudomonadota bacterium. RNAcentral describes it as "bacterial SSU rRNA". It matches the Rfam family "Bacterial small subunit ribosomal RNA", at positions 29 to 351 of the family's 1533-position model. Lineage: Bacteria; Pseudomonadati; Pseudomonadota. The record is from RNAcentral.
AACGAACGCUGGCGGCGUGCCUAACACAUGCAAGUCGUGCGAGAAAGUUCCCUUCGGGGAGCGUGUAAAGCGGCGCACGGGUGAGUAACACGUAGGUAACCUACCCCUCAGUCCGGAAUAACCAGCUGAAAGGCUGGCUAAUGCCGGGUAAGACCACGACCUCUGCGGAGGUCGCGGCCAAAGGUGGCCUCUUCAUGAAAGCUAUCGCUGAGAGAUGGGCCUGCGUACCAUUAGCUAGUUGGUGGGGUAACGGCUCACCAAGGCUCUGAUGGUUAGCUGGUCUGAGAGGAUGACCAGCCACACUGGGACUGAGACACGGCCCAGACUCCUACGGGUGGCAG